UACGGCGGUGGCAAGCGUUGCUCGGAAUCACUGGGCGUAAAGGGCGCGUAGGCGGGGAGGUAAGUCGGGUGUGAAAUCCCUCGGCCCAACUGAGGAACUGCGCCCGAGACUGCUUCUCUUGAGUCCCGGAGAGGAAGAUGGAAUUCCCGGUGUAGCGGUGAAAUGUGUAGAGAUCGGGAGGAACACCGGUGGCGAAGGCGGUCUUCUGGACGGUGACUGACGCUGAGGCGCGAAAGCGUGGGGAGCAAACGGG
RNAcentral lists this ribosomal RNA (253 nucleotides) under uncultured bacterium. Its description in RNAcentral is "partial 16S ribosomal RNA". It matches the Rfam family "Bacterial small subunit ribosomal RNA", at positions 524 to 776 of the family's 1533-position model. The record is from RNAcentral.